This 467-nucleotide ribosomal RNA is filed under the name uncultured bacterium. Its description in RNAcentral is "partial 16S ribosomal RNA". It matches the Rfam family "Bacterial small subunit ribosomal RNA", at positions 29 to 507 of the family's 1533-position model. The record is from RNAcentral.
AUGAACGCUGGCGGCGUGCUUAACACCUGCAAGUCGAACGGUGAAGGCGGAGCUUGCUCUGCUGGAUCAGUGGCGAACGGGUGAGUAACACGUGAGCAAUCUGCCCCUGACUCUGGGAUAAGCGCUGGAAACGGCGUCUAAUACUGGAUACGAGCUGCGAAGGCAUCUUCAGCAGCUGGAAAGAACUUCGGUCAGGGAUGAGCUCGCGGCCUAUCAGCUUGUUGGUGAGGUAACGGCUCACCAAGGCGUCGACGGGUAGCCGGCCUGAGAGGGUGACCGGCCACACUGGGACUGAGACACGGCCCAGACUCCUACGGGAGGCAGCAGUGGGGAAUAUUGCACAAUGGGCGAAAGCCUGAUGCAGCAACGCCGCGUGAGGGACGACGGCCUUCGGGUUGUAAACCUCUUUUAGCAGGGAAGAAGCGAAAGUGACGGUACCUGCAGAAAAAGCGCCGGCUAACUACGUG